GACGAACGCUGGCGGCGUGCCUAAUACAUGCAAGUAGAACGCUGAAGGAGGAGCUUGCUUCUCCGGAUGAGUUGCGAACGGGUGAGUAACGCGUAGGUAACCUGCCUGGUAGCGGGGGAUAACUAUUGGAAACGAUAGUUAAUACCGCAUAACAGUAGAUAUUGCAUGAUAUCUGCUUGAAAGGUGCAAUUGCAUCACUACCAGAUGGACCUGCGUUGUAUUAGCUAGUUGGUGAGGUAACGGCUCACCAAGGCGACGAUACAUAGCCGACCUGAGAGGGUGAUCGGCCACACUGGGACUGAGACACGGCCCAGACUCCUACGGGAGGCAGCAGUAGGGAAUCUUCGGCAAUAGACGGAAGUCUGACCGAGCAACGCCGCGUGAGUGAAGAAGGUUUUCGGAUCGUAAAGCUCUGUUGUAAGAGAAGAACGAGUGUGAGAGUGGAAAGUUCACACUGUGACGGUAUCUUACCAGAAAGGGACGGCUAACUACGUG
Molecule: ribosomal RNA, 495 nt
Filed under: uncultured bacterium
Lineage: Bacteria
Description: partial 16S ribosomal RNA
Rfam family: Bacterial small subunit ribosomal RNA
Source: RNAcentral